Molecule: ribosomal RNA, 253 nt
Filed under: uncultured bacterium
Lineage: Bacteria
Description: partial 16S ribosomal RNA
Rfam family: Bacterial small subunit ribosomal RNA
Source: RNAcentral
UACGUAGGGUGCAAGCGUUGUUCGGAUUUAUUGGGCGUAAAGGGCGCGUAGGCGGAUAGUUAAGUUGGGUGUUUAACCCACAGGCUCAACCUGUGGUCUGCAUUCAAUACUGAUUAUCUUGAGUAUCGGAGGGGAAAGUGGAAUUCUUGGUGUAGCGGUGGAAUGCGUAGAUAUCAAGAGGAACACCAGUGGCGAAGGCGACUUUCUGGCUGAAUACUGACGCUAAAGCGCGAAAGCGUGGGGAGCAAACAGG